CCGACAUGACGACCGAGGCCCGACGCCGGCCGUGACCGCCGCGGCGGAGGCCGAGGGGCGUCUCACCGGCUCCCAGGCAACGGGCCGCCUCUGUCGCGACGUCUACGGCGGGCGCCGAGAUCCAAGCUUCCUGAGCGGCCAAGCUGUGUGAAAACCUUGGAGCUAGGAGCACAGGACAGCCUCUAGGAGCUCGGAGAACCAGCAAGAAAACAAACUCCAGCCAUCUAACCAUGAGGAACUGAAUUCUGCUAACUGAAAUGAGCCUGGAAUGGAACCCCAAGCCUCAGAUGAGAUCACGUCCUGCUGACCCCUUGAUUUCAGGUGUGCUCUUCAGUGAAUUUUGACAAGUGUAUGCAUCCAUGUAACCACUCCCAUAAUGAAGCUACAGAACAUUUCUCUCACUCUGAAAAGUUUCCUUGUGCCCCUUUGCAGUCAACUCCAGAUCUGGGAAAUCACUUGUUUGCUUUCUAUUACUGUAGAUUGUUUUUCUUUGUCAUUAUUUUAUUAUGUAAAAUAAUUAUGUAAAAUUUGCCAUACUGUAAACUAAUUUUGAAUGUUCUAGAAUUUUAUAUAAAUGGUAUAAUAAAUCACACAUAUAUACUA
Long non-coding RNA from Nyctereutes procyonoides (raccoon dog), 603 nucleotides. RefSeq lists it as uncharacterized. The transcript is spliced from 3 exons. Lineage: Eukaryota; Metazoa; Chordata; Mammalia; Carnivora; Canidae. The record is from RefSeq and is a predicted model, not a curated record.